UGGGGAAUAUUGCACAAUGGGCGCAAGCCUGAUCCAGCAACGCCGCGUGAACGAAGAAGGUCUUCGGUUCGUAAAGUUCUGUUGCAGGGGAAGAUAAUGACGGUACCCUGUGAGGAAGCCCCGGCUAACUACGUGCCAGCAGCCGCGGUAAUACGUAGGGGGCUAGCGUUAUCCGGAUUUACUGGGCGUAAAGGGUGCGUAGGUGGUCUUUCAAGUCGGUGGUUAAAGGCUACGGCUCAACCGUAGUUAGCCUCCGAAACUGGAAGACUUGAGUGCAGGAGAGGAAAGUGGAAUUCCCAGUGUAGCGGUGAAAUGCGUAGAUAUUGGGAGGAACACCAGUAGCGAAGGCGGCUAUCUGGACUGCAACUGACACUGAGGUACGAAAGCGUGGGGAGCAAACAGG
This 403-nucleotide ribosomal RNA is filed under the name Verrucomicrobiota bacterium. RNAcentral's name for it is "Verrucomicrobia bacterium partial 16S ribosomal RNA". It matches the Rfam family "Bacterial small subunit ribosomal RNA", at positions 355 to 776 of the family's 1533-position model. Lineage: Bacteria; Pseudomonadati; Verrucomicrobiota. The record is from RNAcentral.